This 252-nucleotide non-coding RNA is filed under the name Subdoligranulum sp. Its description in RNAcentral is "T-box sequence". It matches the Rfam family "T-box leader". From Rfam's summary of the family: Uncharged tRNA acts as the effector for transcription antitermination of genes in the T-box leader family. T-boxes are found upstream of many aminoacyl-tRNA synthetase genes and some amino acid biosynthetic genes usually in Gram-positive bacteria. The record is from RNAcentral. Lineage: Bacteria; Bacillati; Bacillota; Clostridia; Eubacteriales; Oscillospiraceae.
UCAAACAUGUUGACUGAGAGAGUACGCGCGAGGUUCUGUCCUCCUGCAGAGAGGGGCGCCGCAGGCUGCAAGCGCCCGGGGAUGGUUUCGCGCCGAAGUUCACUCACGAGUGGCUUUGCUGAAGGUUGCGGCUGGUAGGCAGAGACGGGUGUUCCCGUUACAGAACAACAGAGUGUUUGCUCUUGUACAAUCGUACGGCAAAAACGUGGGUGGUACCGCGGAGUUUACGAACAGGUAAGCUUCGUCCCUGUC